Molecule: ribosomal RNA, 484 nt
Filed under: uncultured bacterium
Lineage: Bacteria
Description: partial 16S ribosomal RNA
Rfam family: Bacterial small subunit ribosomal RNA
Source: RNAcentral
AUUGAACGCUGGCGGCAUGCUUUACACAUGCCAGUCGAACGGCAGCACGGGGGCAACCCUGGUGGCGAGUGGCGAACGGGUGAGUAAUACAUCGGAACGUGCCCGGUCGUGGGGGAUAACGUAGCGAAAGUUACGCUAAUACCGCAUACGAUCUGAGGAUGAAAGCGGGGGACCUUCGGGCCUCGCGCGAUCGGAGCGGCCGAUGUCAGAUUAGGUAGUUGGUGGGGUAAAGGCCUACCAAGCCGACGAUCUGUAGCUGGUCUGAGAGGACGACCAGCCACACUGGGACUGAGACACGGCCCAGACUCCUACGGGAGGCAGCAGUGGGGAAUUUUGGACAAUGGGCGCAAGCCUGAUCCAGCCAUGCCGCGUGCAGGACGAAGGCCUUCGGGUUGUAAACUGCUUUUGUAUGGAACGAAAAGGCUCUGGCUAAUACCUGGGGCUCAUGACGGUACCGUAAGAAUAAGCACCGGCUAACUACGUG